UACGUAGGUGACCAGCGUUGUCCGGAUUUACUGGGCGUAAAGAGCGCGCAGGCGGUCGUUCAAGUCGAGUGUGAAAGCCCCCGGCUCAACUGGGGAGGGUCACUCGAUACUGAUCGACUUGAAGGCAGGAGAGGGAAGCGGAAUUCCCGGUGUAGUGGUGAAAUGCGUAGAUAUCGGGAGGAACACCAGUAGCGAAGGCGGCUUCCUGGCCUGUUCUUGACGCUGAGGCGCGAAAGCCAGGGGAGCAAACGGG
Molecule: ribosomal RNA, 253 nt
Filed under: uncultured bacterium
Lineage: Bacteria
Description: partial 16S ribosomal RNA
Rfam family: Bacterial small subunit ribosomal RNA
Source: RNAcentral